GGGCCUGCUCAGUGAGUUUACAUGUUAGAGAGAGUGGGGUACAGUGACACAGUAACAGAGGAAUUGAGGGCCUGCUCAGUGAGUUUACAUGUUAGAGGGAGUGGGGUAUAGUGACACAGUAACAGAGGGAUUGAGGGUCCUGCUCAGUGAGUUUACAUGUUAGAGGGAGUGGGGUAUAGUGACACAGUAACAGAGGGAUUGAGGGUCCUGCUCAGUGAGUUUACAUGUUAGAGGGAGUGGGGUAUAGUGACACAGUAACAGAGGGAUUGAGGUCCCUGCUCAGUGAGUUUACAUGUUAGAGGGAGUGGGGUAUAGUGACAC
Molecule: non-coding RNA, 321 nt
Organism: Pelobates cultripes (western spadefoot toad)
Lineage: Eukaryota; Metazoa; Chordata; Amphibia; Anura; Pelobatidae
Source: the annotation of a GenBank genome assembly